This 880-nucleotide ribosomal RNA is filed under the name uncultured bacterium. RNAcentral describes it as "bacterial SSU rRNA". It matches the Rfam family "Bacterial small subunit ribosomal RNA", at positions 27 to 916 of the family's 1533-position model. The record is from RNAcentral.
GGAUGAACGCUGGCGGCGUGCCUAAUACAUGCAAGUCGAACGAGGUGCCUUUGUAGCAAUACGAGGGUAUCCUAGUGGCGAACGGGUGAGUAACGCGUUGGUGACCUGCCCCGAAGUGUGGGAUAACAGUCCGAAAGGACUGCUAAUACCGCAUGCGGCCAUCGGGUUUAGAAACCGAUGUCCAAAGCAGCAAUGCGCUUUGGGAGGGACCUGCGUCCCAUCAGCUAGUUGGUAGGGUAACGGCCUACCAAGGCGACGACGGGUAGGGGACCUGAGAGGGUGACCCCCCACAAUGGAACUGAAAUACGGUCCAUACACCUACGGGUGGCAGCAGUAGGGAAUAUUGCACAAUGGGCGAAAGCCUGAUGCAGCAACGCCGCGUGCACGAUGAAGGUCUUCGGAUCGUAAAGUGCUUUUCUGGGAGAUGAGAAAGGACAGUAUCCCAGGAAUAAGUCUCGGCUAACUACGUGCCAGCAGCCGCGGUAAAACGUAGGAGGCAAGCGUUAUCCGGAUUCACUGGGCGUAAAGCGCGUGCAGGCGGCUCGGUAAGUUGGGCGUGAAAUCUUCUGGCUUAACUAGGAGAGGCCGUUCAAUACUACCGGGCUAGAGAGCAGUAGAGGAAGAUGGAAUUCCCGGUGUAGUGGUGAAAUGCGUAGAUAUCGGGAGGAACACCAGUGGCGAAGGCGAUCUUCUGGACUGUUUCUGACGCUCAGACGCGAAAGCUAGGGUAGUAAACGGGAUUAGAGACCCCGGUAAUCCUAGCCGUAAACGAUGUGAACUUGGCGUCGGUAGCUUAAACACUAUCGGUGCCGUAGCAAACGCGAUAAGUUCACCGCCUGGGGACUACGAUUGCAAGAUUAAAACUCAAAGGAAUUGACGG